GCAUCAUAAUGUUUGCUGACUGUUUAAAUAGAUUUUUGAUCAUCACUGUGUCACCAAUCUUUUCAGAUCUUAAUUUUUCUUGCAAGUAAUAAAAGGGUCUAUUGUUCUUAAACAAUUACAAUCAUAGAAGCAAAAAAGAAGACUUGCUUUUUUCUUUUGCACAUCCUAACUUCAUUUUGAUAACUGAUUCUCAAAAUUGGAUGAAAAAUCAAGGCAAAUCAUUUUGGUUAGAUUCACAUUGUUGGUUAAGAGCGUCUCCUAGCAUAUUUGGUUUUAUAUAUUUUCUGGUUAUGUGUGCUGCCAGAUGAUGAUUAAACCUCAUAAUCCAUGUGGUUGCUUUUUACUAUUUUUUGCUGCCAAAUCCAAUGAUAUCUAGAUACUUGUAUAUGCUCGAUGUGUUGUGUUGGAUACAAGCAGAUACAAAUACUGGAUACUUGCAGUGUAUGUGUUAGCUGAUUUUUUAAUUUAUUUUUUUCAUUAGAAAUCUUGACAAUUGUCUUAGGGUGUGUUUGGGUGACACAUCAUCAUCAAAGCCUUAUACCAACUAAUUGGGGUUGGCUACAUGAAUCAUGGUAUUAAGAAAUGGUUAUGUGACAGCUAUAUGCCUAUAACAGUGAAAACGGCGCCCAUCACACGAUGCAAGGCUGUAACUGCUAAUUGAAAAAGGUGGCCUGUAACAAGCUUAUAAUGGCCUUCAAGCCCAUAUCGAGCUGAUAUGGGGCCAUAACAGACUGAUUUGAGGUCGAUACACUUGUUCCUUAGAAAAAUAAAAAAUAAAAAUCGGCUGUUAUAUGGCCGUAGUGGUCAUUUCUGCUCGUAGCAUAACAACCACGAGGUUAGCCGUUGUGGCUACUGUUACAUUUUUGAAUACUUAUUAAUUCCUCGUUACCACUCCUAUUGUUACUAAAAUUGUGCUCCAUAUACUCAAUUUUAGUCUGACUAAUGUUCAUUCGCUUAGAUUCUAAAGCACUUCUCCAUAAAUCUAAAUUUGUGUUUGCGCCCUCCCUUGUCUUGUCAAUCCAUCUGCAAACAAUGUAUACCAUCAGAUCUCUUCCUUGAAAUGCCCUGUUAACUUGUCCAUAACUAAUGCGAAAAGGUAUGGGCUCAAUGCCCACCAAUGCAAGCCUGCAGUAAUUGGGAACUCACUUGUUUCUCCACUAACGCUUCUCACAUUUGUAUUGCUCCCUCAAUUGUUGGGCCAUGUUGCUCGCCUAUAUGAGGCCUACAAGCUCGUCAUUUGCUAUGUGGAGCCCUCUGCAGGUGUGGAUCCUCCUUUUUGGGUCCUCUGUUUUUCUAUAUUAGGGAUCUCUUUGGAUCUUGGUACUGUCUUUCUGUAAGCAAUGCUGAGUGGCGCUGAGUUGGAGUUAGGUGGUGUUGCUGGUGCUAGCAGGGGAUAUGCUUUUGGUUUGAGGCCCUUCUUGUCUUUAUUUUAGCCAACCAAGGCUGUCGUAGUAUAUAUAGGAUCCGCGGGAACCUUGGCUUGGCAGAAGUGGUUACCCAAAAGCAUUUAAAGAACCAUACAACUGGGGAAUUUACUGGGUUCUACCUAACUGUACUGGGAGGUGAGAAUGCAGGAAAUGGGUGGUGGGUGAGGAGGUUGGCUAAGCACAUUCAAGUGUUUAGAACAACAGGAAGCAACUGAAUUGAGCUGGCUCAUGUGGUUAGGUGAGAAAAGUAAAUGCUACAUGCAUUAGUAGGUUCACAUGUGCUGGUGCAGGAUGCAUGCAGGAUCCGGGCCGUUCAUCAGGACUCUACAACUAUGUAUGUUUCAUGGCCAAAAUGUUAGGCUUAACUGCCGCAUCAGGUAGCUACAUUUGUAUGUUGAAUGUGGACCAUUAGUCAAAUCCUUUUUAAGAGGUUAUUUUCUCAUUAGCAUGCAACCCACCUGAUGAGUACAUUAGUGGGUUUUUGGGUCAGGGCACAUAACAGUGGCCCCACCUGGUUAAAGACCCAGAUCUCUCACGUGUUGUGUUGAAAGGUAUCAUGCUCCGUGUCGAGUAACCUUGGCAGGACUUCAGGUUUGAAAUCCUGUAUUUUACAUAUCCAUAUGAUUAAGUCCUUGGGUCUCCAAAAUAGUGUAAAAAGAAGUGAUUCAAAUCAUUGCUAUUUGACUUGGGCCUGUUCUGAAAAAGUUGAGGUAUUUCGAAUUGUUUGUUGACAAGUAAGGGAAAACCUCUGAAAUGAUUUCAAUAUUGGACGUUAGACACGUUUUUUUACAUUUCUUUCACUCAACAUGUGGUCUUGCAGAAACUGAAUAUCAAUUUACAAGUAGUGUCUACAGAAAGGAAUUUUCUUUGAUCAACAUCAUCAUUCACAAAAACAUUCCAUUAGAUUGCAGUGCCAAAGAAUAUCAAUACCCUUUAAUUUAUUAGUAUAUAUAUAUAUUUUAAUAGAGGUAAUGGAGUUUUAUUAGAAAAGCAUUGCCAAAGAAGGGCUCUAAAGCAAAACACAAUAGCCAAGGCCCAAAUAAAGAAGAAAAAUUACACUCAUCAAAAUCCCUUGAACUUAAAGCCCAUCCCAUUACAUCUAACUUUGCCCUUCUAAGGACCUCCAAUGCCAUCCCGUUCUGGAGGGCUAACCUCCAAACCACCCAAUUUCUGGUGUUUGCACAUGAAUUAUUCCAUAGUUUGUUUACAUCCUUCACAUUUUGAAUCCGACAUCCUUCUCUGUUACAUAUCAGGCAAACUGCAUUUCAUUUGAUCUGACCACUCAUCCAAACCUGCAGUUUGCAAGUUAUAUCUUAUUGUUAGUUCUUACUCACUUUUUUCCAUUUCACCAAUUUAGGACCACUGCUCAUUUCCUUUUUGAUUGCUCUAUUCAUGGUCACCAAUUUGAUGGUUAGGAUAUCUUAUAAAGAAGGUAAAGGACCGAAGAUUGUGACUACCCUUACGUCAUGAAACCCAUGAAAGGAACCUUUUUUAAUGCAUUACUAUCAACCCCAGUACCAGGACAUAUCUCACCAUGAUCAAUUCCAACUUGGAAUUGAAUGGAAUGAAAAAGACAGUAUGAGAAGAAAUCCAUAGACUUAAGAUAUCUCUUCAACAAAAUAUCUUAUAAAAAUCGUCUUUCUUCUCAUUAUAUGUAGGAAGGAAAGGUGAGGCUAGCACUCAUGCAGCCUCAUGUAGAGUGUGACAGAGCCAAAUCCAUAUUUUCCUAAUAUAGAGUAAUAUAGAUUAUAGAGAACGGUGUACAAGUAGCUCCAUGAAAUUUAUUGCUGUAUGUUGCUCUUCACAUUAUUAUUUAAGUGCUGUGCUUUUUUGGUAGGACCAUUUUCAGAAUUCAUAAUAUAUAUUCAAAGAAUAAGACGAAAUAAAAGGACACCAUUUAAUUUCAUUUAAUACUGUUGGUGGGACGUUCAGUUCAGCUGAACAAAAAAAAAAAAAAAAAAAAAAGAUGUCCGUUGUAUCAUAUCAAUUUUUU
This is a long non-coding RNA of Magnolia sinica, 3420 nucleotides long. RefSeq lists it as uncharacterized. Lineage: Eukaryota; Viridiplantae; Streptophyta; Magnoliopsida; Magnoliales; Magnoliaceae. The record is from RefSeq and is a predicted model, not a curated record. The transcript is spliced from 3 exons.